AUAUAUAUAUAUAUAUAUAUAUAAACAGUAUCAUCAAUGUCAGUUAGUUUUCCUUAAUAGUAUGUGCCGACAUGUAAUCUGAAUUAUUAAAACAACAUUUACACCAACUGACUCUCAUUCAACAGUGCAUUUCCACCGACAGAAUGUAUCAUUACUCUUCUUGGGCGAUCACUCAAAGAGCCCCUUGAAGUGCAGCAAAAUGACCAAUUGUGUGUGGUUGCUAAUGAAAAAUAACUAUUUGGCCAAUCAGCAUUACCAAAUUUCGGCCCUCAAAGUGCUGCUGUUUUUGGCGGAAACAAAAACCCCACCGACGUUUGGGUUAUUUAUUUAUUUUUUGUCUCCGUGUGUUUUGGUGGAGUAAGUUGAAGAACUUUGAGAACAGUUUUUGGGAGAUGAGGGGGGGAACCUGGGAUAAAGCGACCACAAACUGCCGCACACUGACUGCACUCAUGUAGGCGACUCCGGCUCGCAGUUUGGUAGGUGGAAAAGAAGCAUGACAGCAACUAAAACUAGCUCCCAGCCUCGCUUCUUACAAAUGGAACAAAGUCUAUUUGAGUUUAGAGUUUGUUUUUUUUUUUACAGAGGCAUGUGGUCGCACUUUGUGCUCAGGCCUGCACGAAAAAAAAAAGCGCAAACUGCUUCGCUGAAUAGUUCGGAGCGGGAUGACUGUUGUAACGGGGACAAGGUGAGAGGAUCUGAAGGAUCAAGGCUCGGCUGUAUUUGACUGUUCGGCAGCUUUUCACCUCUUUAAGGUGAGUGGCUCCUUUUGAUUUGGCCUCUCCCUCUCUCUCUCUUUUUUGGAAGGUGGUGUGAACACUGUCGUAUGUACAUAAUGUUCUUUUGUCAAUGAGGAAUUUU
Molecule: long non-coding RNA, 858 nt
Organism: Thalassophryne amazonica
Lineage: Eukaryota; Metazoa; Chordata; Actinopteri; Batrachoidiformes; Batrachoididae
Exons: 3
Source: RefSeq, a predicted model, not a curated record